CCUACGGGAGGCACCAGUGGGGAAUAUUGCACAAUGGGCGCAAGCCUGAUGCAGCCAUGCCGCGUGUGUGAAGAAGGCCUUCGGGUUGUAAAGCACUUUCAGCGGGGAGGAAGGCGUUAAGGUUAAUAACCUUGGCGAUUGACGUUACCCGCAGAAGAAGCACCGGCUAACUCCGUGCUAGCAGCCGCGGUAAUACGGAGGGUGCAAGCGUUAAUCGGAAUUACUGGGCGUAAAGCGCACGCAGGCGGUCUGUCAAGUCGGAUGUGAAAUCCCCGGGCUCAACCUGGGAACUGCAUUCGAAACUGGCAGGCUAGAGUCUUGUAGAGGGGGGUAGAAUUCCAGGUGUAGCGGUGAAAUGCGUAGAGAUCUGGAGGAAUACCGGUGGCGAAGGCGGCCCCCUGGACGAAGACUGACGCUCAGAUGCGAAAGCGUGGGGAGCAAACAGGAUUAGAUACCCGGGUAGUC
RNAcentral lists this ribosomal RNA (465 nucleotides) under uncultured bacterium. Its description in RNAcentral is "bacterial SSU rRNA". It matches the Rfam family "Bacterial small subunit ribosomal RNA", at positions 338 to 795 of the family's 1533-position model. The record is from RNAcentral.